Mirounga angustirostris (Northern elephant seal) is the source of this 3959-nucleotide long non-coding RNA. RefSeq lists it as uncharacterized. NCBI's taxonomy places the organism in Eukaryota, Metazoa, Chordata, Mammalia, Carnivora, Phocidae. The record is from RefSeq and is a predicted model, not a curated record. The transcript has 4 exons.
UGGAGUGAUUUUUUUUAUUAUUAUUAAAUACAGGUUUGAAAACACAAAAAUAACAGUCGUGUCCAUCCACAGAGGAGGAGGUUCAGGAUAGAGACUAGACCAAAGGAUGAGAGAUGCUGAAGUAACAGAAUGAAUGGGCCGGAAACUACGCAUCUGGGCUGAAAAGAGACUGGGCAGUGAAUGUUCAUGGAAUCAUUACCAGAACCAUAGCUCUCUCCAGCAGACACCAUGAGGUGCCAUCAAGAACUUAUGUUUUAUUCAUUGAGCGGUACUAUUAACCAGUAGCUUCAGAAGCUGAGGACAAAAGAAGAAAAACGUGAAGCUGUUUGUCUCUCUGUCUCUCACCGUUCUGCUCCAAGAAUAUGCCAUCCACGGUUUGUCGGCCACCUAAGGCACUUCCUCGUAUGCAUACUGCACGUGAACCUCUGCCUCAGGGUCAGCUUCGUAGAGAACCUAACCUGCAUCCGUGUGCAUGGAAAACAGGGUUUCUUUUCUCUCCUGGAGCAAAACUAGAUUUAUCCAUUUGAGAGAGAGAGAGAACAUGGGGAGAGGGGGAGAGAGUCUCAAGAAGACUCCACGCUGAGCACAGAGCCAGACGCAGGGCUUGAUCCCACGACCCUGAGAUCAUGACCUGAGCUGAAACCAAGAGUCGGACGCUCAGCCAACCGCACCACCCAGGCGCCACAGCGCUGGUACGCCUUAGCUGAUUACGGCUGGAGGUAAUACUGGUAAAUGAAUAGUGGUACACCACACAGAACAAUGGGUUCCAAAAUCCAGCAGGGAAUUAAUAUUUUAUAAUAUUUCAUUCUAGAUAACUAGGUGAACUCUUCUUUUCAAAAUUCAGUUUCAAUGUCGCUGGCCUUGUUAUUCUUUCUGUAGCUUCCUCAGAAAAAGUCAAUCUCUUCCUUCACUUUGCUCACACAGCAGUGCGAAUCAGUGUCAGCCAUACUAAAGAUGGGAGAUGGGGGAGGGGGAGAGCAAUCUGCCCUGGGAGCAAGCAAAAAGGUGCUAAGUUGUCUGUGGAGAACUGAAAAACAAUAAAACUGACUAGAGGUCAGCUGCUUUUUAUUAUCACCAUGCACCAGCAACCCUAAACAAUGUCAGUAACAAAAUAUUCCUUCCUUCCCUGAGGAGUGCUCCACCAUAUCUCAUACACUCCUUUCCACCUUGGCCUACUAUGACUCGGUCUAUACCUUAAUUAUGGCAUCUGUCACCUUGUAUUAUACUGUUACCCCAGACCAUGGGUUCUUUAUGAUUUUGCUCCUUCUUUGUCAUCUCUCUAUGAUCCCUAUUAUAGUUCCUAACCAAAGUCAUCACCAAUAAUAUUUAGUUGAAUGAAUAAAGGAUAGUAGUUCAGUACUUCAUCUACAUGUGGGAGUAGCCGGUUAUUAGGGAGGUAAUAAAGUCUUCUAGCCUUAAAGCUCAACCAACAUCCUAAAUCAAUGUCAUUAUCAUCUCCUCAAACUUGAUUUUCUUUUACUUUUUCACAAUUAUAAAAUCAAAACUCCACUUCUGCUGGAACCACCAACCUAUUGGAAUAGAUGAAGUCAGGUAAGAGUAAUAACUUAAAUGUCCCAGUCCAUGUCUCUACCUGCCUACUCCAUGGACUGCCAACCCCAUGUAUUCAUGCAUGUGCUCCUGCAAUGGAUAAUUAUUUACACAAUGAGUAAAUAUUGAUGACCAUGUGCCAGGCAUGGUCUCAUCCAAGCAUGUCUGACAGUUCCAAGUGAGUGUCUUAGCCAUGACUGCAAAUAGAGUGGAACCCAAACACACAUUUCUCUUGCUACGAGUGACUUCCUCCCACAAUGCAACUUUAAUGCAUUAUUUCAUAACAUGUCUCUGAUGUAUAUGAGUCUUUGCAAAGACUCCUUCUGGGGGUUAGGAGAAGAGGGCAAAAGGGAAAGAAAAGUCUCUUUUGCCAUCUGUCACCCUUCAUUUCUUCAAUCUAUCCUUUACCUUUCAGCCAGACUACCUUGUAUGUAUAUGGAUAGGCUUAAGGCAAUUUCUUCACCAAAUCUUAUCAGUGGUUUCCUAUUCCUAUAAAGUAAACCCAAAUCUCAUGACAUUCAAGGUUAGUUGAAGAAAAAAAAAAACAUAUAAAUAAAUGUCACUGAACCAAAAUGACUAAUUUGUGGGAACUCUCAAAUUUUUUCUCCUCCCUGCCAACUGAAGAAUUAUCUGGCUCUGCCACGUAAGGGGUUUUCUUUCCCUUUUUCUCUUGAGGAGAGUUCUUCAGUGUCCCAUGCACAGCUGCUGGCUGGUGGUCUAGUGUAUGUAUAUAGUGCCCAAAGGCACCAGGGCCAGUGGGGAGCGGGCCUGAGCUUUAGCAUGUGGGGCAAGUUUGUCUUACUCGAACAGAAGUCCUGCAUGGUUGGGUUUUGUGAUUUAAAAUUGGGAGAACAUAAGAAGUCUGGGCAAGAGAAGAGAAAGAAAGGGGACACAGAGAGAGAAUGGCUAGAGUGGGGAAGGAGGGUUUUAGGGUAGUUAGUGGGAGAAAGGACCAGGGAAGCUGUGGGUCAGUAAGGAAAUAGGGUAGAAAUGAGAUUUUAAGAAGCGUUGCUCAAAUAAAGAAUCUGAGUUAAUAUGAAAUUUCUUUUGGUUGCUGGACUAUGCUUUCUUUGUCUGCCAUAGUGUUAGAAAAACCAUUUUACACGCCAGACUCCCUGUCUUAGUCUAACUAGCUAACCGGUUAAUUAAGGUCUGCAACUGCCUUCCAGGAAAAUGAGUGUUGGAAGAAGAAAUCCUUUCAUCCUUGCAGUUAUCAGCUGUUUGACCUUGAGAGAGUUAACGCUUUUCUGAACUUCCAUUUUUUUUUUCCAUCCGCAAAAGAGGGUAGUAAUACCACCUGCCUCAUGGAAUAGACAUUAGGAUGAAGUGAAAUCAUGUUUAUGGAAAGCUCUCUGCUCAGUAUUCAGCCUAGUGUGAGCGCUAAAUAAAUGAUCACAUCCGUUAUUGUUUAUGUUGUUAGAUGGGGAAAAUAAAACAGAAUCCUCAGAAGUCUCCAGGAAGAAAUUAGGUCUCCUGGCAAGGUAGAUGGGACCAAGAAGAGACCCUAGGGCUUGCUGACUUACGGCAAAGAGAAUCAAAUCAUUCUACUCCUGCAGUGGUUCUUGUAGUCCGUAGACACGCCUAUUUUUAUUUCUAACUCCUAACAUGUCCUACUUCCCUGAAGUACUAGUUGUUUAUGGUAAGCCUUUCAUAUAAUUUUAACAUUUUUCUGCAUCUCAUUUGCUAAGUUGUUUGUUUGUCUUUUCCAUAUUCCAUCUUGUUUGCUUGCUCCUACUCAAUCCUAUUUCUACUAAGAUUUGAGGAUAGCAAAGGUUCUCUGAACUUGAAUUUAAAUGGUGAAAAUAAGCUUACCAUCCCAUCCCUUUCUCUCCCAACCAUUGCCCUGUCCCUUCUUGUGGCCUAACAGCCCCCUACCCGCCUUCUGCCUUUCUCCCAAGAAUGACUUGUUCCUUAAGAUAUCAGCUCUCACCUCCAGAGGUGAAAAGGAUAGAGGCCUUUAAUCAGUGGUAUCUUUUUGUUUCCUAUGGAAUCAAAAACAAAACAUCAAAACCACACUCCUUCAACAGCUAGUUGUAAUCAUAAGACAGAUACAACUUGCAAUUCAGACAAACACUGAAGCAAAAGCUCUUUGAGCCGGAGUGGUCCAAAGGGACACUGCCCGUCUUUCUUGUGGUUUUCUUCCACUUUCUCCUAAAACUUGCUCUUUGCUGUCUUACGGGGUUCUGCCCGCUCACACCAUUUUCAGAGGCUCAAUGUUCUUAAUCUGUGGGCUGAGGUUACUAGCGCAAAAGCUUACCAGUGGAAUCCACGGAUGAUUUCAAGGGAAAGAGACCAUUUAAGACUAUCUUAGGGGUUCCUGGGUGGUUCAGUCGGUUAAGAAUCCAACUCUAGGUUUCAACUCAGGUCAUGAUCUCAGGGUCCUGAGACCAAGCCCCUACUCUGGCUCUGUG